AUUGAACGCUGGCGGCAGGCUUAACACAUGCAAGUCGGACGGUAACAGGGAGGAAGCUUGCUUUCUUUGCUGACGAGUGGCGGACGGGUGAGUAAUGCUUGGGAAUCUGUUUUAUGGAGGGGGAUAACUACGGGAAACUGUAGCUAAUACCGCGUAAUAUCGAGAGAUUAAAGUGUGGGACCGUAAGGCCACAUGCCAUAGAGUGAGCCCAAGUGGGAUUAGGUAGUUGGUGGGGUAAAGGCCUACCAAGCCGUCGAUCUCUAGCUGGUCUGAGAGGAUGACCAGCCACACUGGGACUGAGACACGGCCCAGACUCCUACGGGAGGCAGCAGUGGGGAAUAUUGCACAAUGGGCGCAAGCCUGAUGCAGCCAUGCCGCGUGAAUGAAGAAGGCCUUCGGGUUGUAAAGUUCUUUCGGUGGUGAGGAAGGUUGUAAUGUUAAUAGCAUUAUAAUUUGACGUUAGCCACAGAAGAAGCACCGGCUAACUCCGUGCCAGCAGCCGCGGUAAUACGGAGGGUGCGAGCGUUAAUCGGAAUAACUGGGCGUAAAGGGCACGCAGGCGGAUACUUAAGUGAGGUGUGAAAGCCCUGGGCUUAACCUAGGAAUUGCAUUUCGUACUGGGUAUCUAGAGUAUUUUAGGGAGGGGUAGAAUUCCACGUGUAGCGGUGAAAUGCGUAGAGAUGUGGAGGAAUACCGAAGGCGAAGGCAGCCCCUUGGGGGAAUACUGACGCUCAUGUGCGAAAGCGUGGGGAGCAAACAGG
This 761-nucleotide ribosomal RNA is filed under the name uncultured bacterium. RNAcentral's name for it is "bacterial SSU rRNA". It matches the Rfam family "Bacterial small subunit ribosomal RNA", at positions 28 to 776 of the family's 1533-position model. The record is from RNAcentral.